UACGGAGGAUCCGAGCGUUAUCCGGAUUUAUUGGGUUUAAAGGGUGCGCAGGCGGGAGAUUAAGUCGGUGGUGAAAUUUUGCAGCUCAACUGUAAAAGUGCCUUCGAAACUGGUUUCCUUGAGUGUAGAUGAAGUAGGCGGAAUUUGUGGUGUAGCGGUGAAAUGCAUAGAUAUCACGAGGAACUCCGAUUGCGCAGGCAGCUUACUAAACUACUACUGACGCUCAGGCACGAAGGCGUGGGGAUCAAACAGGAUUAGAUACCCGCGUAGU
Molecule: ribosomal RNA, 271 nt
Filed under: uncultured prokaryote
Description: partial 16S ribosomal RNA
Rfam family: Bacterial small subunit ribosomal RNA
Source: RNAcentral